AGCUCAAAAACCACCAGAUAAAUCUAGCUGCAAAACUGAUUUUAGGCACAUAUUCAUUUCAUCUUGAGCUCAGGAAAACAAUUGUGUUCUACUUUCAUCAUCAAGCCAAAAUGAGCGAUAAACCAAAAAAGCCAGAACAGGUGCAGGAGGGAUCAGGAUCUGAUGGAGAGGGCGGACAGGGCAAAGGGAAACAGAAAGAAAAGGGGAAAGGUCACGGACAUGGUCCUGGAGGAGAAGGACACGGUCAUGGUCAUGGACAGGGAGGAAGAGGAGGUGGUCAAAGUAAAAGAGGUGGCAAGUGAAAGAGACCACUGAGGCGACCCUAAAUAAAAUGAUGAAAAUUCAUGAUUUGGUCAAAAUGAUUAAUGUAUGAUUGUAUUGCAUUCCUCAUUAAAUAAUCUACAACAUAA
This is a long non-coding RNA of Poeciliopsis prolifica (blackstripe livebearer), 410 nucleotides long. RefSeq lists it as uncharacterized. NCBI's taxonomy places the organism in Eukaryota, Metazoa, Chordata, Actinopteri, Cyprinodontiformes, Poeciliidae. The transcript has 6 exons. The record is from RefSeq and is a predicted model, not a curated record.